RNAcentral lists this long non-coding RNA (1904 nucleotides) under Salvia miltiorrhiza (redroot sage). Its description in RNAcentral is "long non-coding RNA (SMIL_LNC006168)". Lineage: Eukaryota; Viridiplantae; Streptophyta; Magnoliopsida; Lamiales; Lamiaceae. The record is from RNAcentral.
UCAUGUAAGAUUAUGAUACAAAGUAUUGGCAGCAGUGCUACAGUUUGAAAAAUGACCCUGUGCUGGCCAUAUAUAGAGAGAUAUAAUAGCUUGAAAAAAUGACCCUGCGCUGGCAGCAUUUAUAAUAAUAAAAUGACCCUGCGUAUAAUAAUAAAAUGACCCUGUGCAGGCAGCAUAUAAUUCAGAAAUUCAACAAGCCCCCAUUUCCCACAUCAACUCGGCUUUUUUGCAGAUAUUUCUUGAAAAAUGAUCCUGCGCUGGAAUUACAUAGAAAGAUAUGGCCGCGCUUCUCAAAGAAAUCUUGUAUUUAGUCCACUCUUUCGAUCUUCAUCGUUGGAGUUCAAGAUUCCUGCAAACAAGACGCAAUGUUGUCAUAUAGCUCUCGUCAGUUCCAAAAUCCCAAGAGUCAGCACAGGGCUGUUGUAUAGCCCCAUCCGCUUAAAAAUUUCAGAAGCAGCGUAGGAAAAUGAUAAAUAUAAGACAACGUCACUCAGGGCAGAUCACCACACGAUCACCACACGAUCAGUGGAUAACUCGUUUUCUCAAACCCACCACAUUUAACACCACAAUAUACAUACACCUAUACCGAUAUGCAGGUAUAAUGCUGGCACUGACUAGAAUAGCAGCAGGAGGUAUCUGGUUCAUCAGGAAUUAAUGUAGUAAAAAAAAUAACUUAGCCUCUCCUUGAAGACCACCGCCUGCGCUGCCCUCUUAAUGCUCUAAUUUCCCUUGAAGACUGCCGCCUGCGCUGCCCUCUUGAUGCUCCAAUUUCCCUUGAAGACCACCACCUGCUCAUCAAGAAGUCAUCCAGGCUCUGAGAAAACCAUAAGUGUGUAACUCUCUGGUUGCAUUAGUUCGGAAAUAACCCAAAUUCAUAGCAAAAUCAGAAUGAAAUCAUCUCGACAUUCGCCAAUACUCCAUUUAGCAUUUUAACAAUGUUCGAAACGUGUUUCACAAAUUCAAAGGCAAUCAAAGGCAUAUGCGAUCUAGUUUUCCCAAAUAAGAAUAACAAUACAAAUGCUACACCAAUACCCACUAAGAUAGCAGCCGAAUAACAUAACCCAAUUUCCCCGAUCAAUUCCAAAGUAGGUUAAAUUUAAAGAGAAAAACAGAGAUAACUUAGCUUCUUCGUGUGGAGAUAUUCAUCCCUGAUUCAAAGUCUUAUUGUAUUUCCCAAAAUCUUGCUCUAAGAGUGUUAGAUAAACUGAUUUCAUCGAAUCAAGAUAACAAAGAUAAGGUACAAGGUAGAACAAUAGCUAAUGAUCGGAUCACACAAUAAUUGACCCAAAAGUUGAAAUCUCAACACCAGGUUCUCACACAGAUUCAAUAGACACCCAACAAUUAUCUCCAAAUUAUUUAAAUGCAAUGCCCAUGCCUUAGCCAAUUAAAGUUAGCACUCAAAUGGUUAAAUCAACACCAACUUUGAUAGUAGUAAAAGAAGCAUGACUGAUUCCAACAAAACAAAAGAAUAGUGAAGCACUUAGCUCUUGUUGGAAGAGGGUUCACUGCCCUGUUUAGUCGAGACUGCUCGCCGGGGAAACGAAGCAGCCAAGCCAGAGAAGGCUUUGAGAAAUUGAGACUGAGCUGAGGCGACACCGCCGAAUCGCGAAUGCCCAAUAGUGGCUUCCCCACAUAUCUUUGAUUUGACUGUGAUUUCUUUCUUUUUGACAUGAUGAAGCCCAACCAAGCAUUUCCAUUCUAGCAAUUACAAGCUAAACGAACAAAAAGAAGAAGAAAUCAGAAUCCCCAAAAUUUCUAUAAGUAAUUGAAAUAAUAGCUGAAUGAAAAGAAGCAGAUAGCGUCGAUUGCUAUCAAUAGACGCGAUUCUCCAGGCUGGCAAGAAGUUGCCGUUUGGUGGCGAUAAACCCAGAUCGGAGCUGUGGCAGCUAGGGGUGAGCAAAAAG